CCGGCACGGGUGAGUAACACGUAUCCAACCUACCGAUAACUCUGGAAUAGCCUUCUGAAAGGAAGAUUAAUACAAGAUGGCAUCAUGAGUCCACAUGUUCACAUGAUUAAAGGUAUUCCGGUAGACGAUGGGGAUGCGUUCCAUUAGAUAGUAGGCGGGGUAACGGCCCACCUAGUCUUCGAUGGAUAGGGGUUCUGAGAGGAAGGUCCCCCACAUUGGAACUGAGACACGGUCCAA
Molecule: ribosomal RNA, 237 nt
Filed under: uncultured bacterium
Lineage: Bacteria
Description: partial 16S ribosomal RNA
Rfam family: Bacterial small subunit ribosomal RNA
Source: RNAcentral